This 484-nucleotide ribosomal RNA is filed under the name uncultured bacterium. RNAcentral describes it as "partial 16S ribosomal RNA". It matches the Rfam family "Bacterial small subunit ribosomal RNA", at positions 29 to 507 of the family's 1533-position model. The record is from RNAcentral.
AGUGAACGCUGGCGGCAGGCCUAACACAUGCAAGUCGAGCGGCAGCGCGGGGGCAACCCUGGCGGCGAGCGGCGGACGGGUGAGGAAUUCGUCGGAAUCUGCCUUUUUGUGGGGGAUAACGUAGGGAAACUUACGCUAAUACCGCAUCCGUCCUACUGUAGAACGUGAUGGACCGCAAGGCCUCACGCAGAAAGCUGAGCCUACGACGGAUUAGCUAGUUGGUUGGGUAAAGGCCCACCAAGGCGACGAUCGGUAGCUGGUCUGAGUGGAUGAUCAGCCACACUGGGACUGAGACACGGCCCAGACUCCUACGGGAGGCAGCAGUGGGGAAUCUUGGACAAUGGGCGAAAGCCUGAUCCAGCAAUGCCGCGUGUGUGAAGAAGGCCUUCGGGUUGUAAAGCACUUUUGUCAGGAAAGAAAAACCUGGAGAUAAUACAUUCGGGGGAUGACGGUACCGGAAGAAUAAGCACCGGCUAACUUCGUG